GGCAACAGCUCAAAUUUGAAAGCUAGCCUUCGGGUUCGCAUUGUAAUUUGUAGAGGAUGCUUUGGGUAAAACGCCAGUCUAAGUUCCUUGGAACAGGACGUCAUAGAGGGUGAGAAUCCCGUAUGUGACUGGAAAUGUUAACCUAUGUAAAGCUCCUUCGACGAGUCGAGUUGUUUGGGAAUGCAGCUCUAAAUGGGAGGUAAAUUUCUUCUAAAGCUAAAUAUUGGCGAGAGACCGAUAGCGCACAAGUAGAGUGAUCGAAAGAUGAAAAGCACUUUGGAAAGAGAGUUAAAAAGCACGUGAAAUUGUUGAAAGGGAAGCGCUUGCAAUCAGACUUGUUUAAACUGUUCGGCCGGUCUUCUGACCGGUUUACUCAGUUUGGACAGGCCAGCAUCAGUUUCGGCGGCCGGAUAAAGGCUCUGGGAAUGUGGCCUCCACUUCGGUGGAGGUGUUAUAGCCCAGUGUGUAAUACGGCCAGCCGGGACUGAGGUCCGCGCUUCGGCUAGGAUGCUGGCGUAAUGGUUGUAAGCGACCCGUCUU
This 540-nucleotide ribosomal RNA is filed under the name Aureobasidium pullulans. RNAcentral describes it as "eukaryotic LSU rRNA". It matches the Rfam family "Eukaryotic large subunit ribosomal RNA", at positions 100 to 655 of the family's 3401-position model. Lineage: Eukaryota; Fungi; Ascomycota; Dothideomycetes; Dothideales; Saccotheciaceae. The record is from RNAcentral.